UACGUAGGUGUCAAGCGUUGUCCGGAUUUAUUGGGCGUAAAGCGCCCGCAGGCGGCUUGCCAAGUUCGAUGUGAAAUCUCCCGGCUCAACUGGGAGGGUGCAUCGAAAACUGGCAGGCUUGAGGCAGGGAGAGGGAUGUGGAAUUCCAGGUGUAGUGGUGAAAUGCGCAGAUAUCGGGAGGAACACCAAUGGCGAAGGCAGCUCGCUGGGACGGUACUGACGCUGAGGCGCGAAAGCGUGGGGAGCAAACAGG
This 253-nucleotide ribosomal RNA is filed under the name uncultured bacterium. Its description in RNAcentral is "partial 16S ribosomal RNA". It matches the Rfam family "Bacterial small subunit ribosomal RNA", at positions 524 to 776 of the family's 1533-position model. The record is from RNAcentral.